This 440-nucleotide ribosomal RNA is filed under the name uncultured bacterium. RNAcentral's name for it is "partial 16S ribosomal RNA". It matches the Rfam family "Bacterial small subunit ribosomal RNA", at positions 338 to 795 of the family's 1533-position model. The record is from RNAcentral.
CCUACGGGAGGCUGCAGUAGGGAAUCUUCCGCAAUGGGGGAAACCCUGACGCAGCAACGCCGCGUGAAGGAUGAAGGUCUUCGGAUUGUAAACUCCUUUUGUUAGAGAAGAUUAUACAGGUAACUAACGAAUAAGCACCUGAUAACUCCGGGCCAGCAGCCGCGGUAAUACGGAGGGGGAAAGCGUUACUCGGAAUCACUGGGCGUAAAGAGUGCGUAGGCGGGGUAAUAAGUCUGAUGUGAAAGCCUGUAGCUUAACGACGGAACUGCAUUUGAAACUGUUACUCUGGAGUGUGGGAGAGGUAGGUGGAAUUCCUGGUGUAGCGGUGAAAUCCGUAGAGAUCUAGAGGAAUACUCGUUGCGAAGGCGACCUGCUGGAACGUUACUGACGCUGAUGCACGAAAGCGUGGGGAGCAAACAGGAUUAGAUACCCCUGUAGUC